Non-coding RNA from Pelobates cultripes (western spadefoot toad), 78 nucleotides. Lineage: Eukaryota; Metazoa; Chordata; Amphibia; Anura; Pelobatidae. The record is from the annotation of a GenBank genome assembly.
UGUGUGUGUGUGUGUGUGUGUGUGUGUGUGUGUGUAUAUAUAUAUACACACACACACACACACACAUAUAUAUACACA